GAUUGUAACCUUGGGGUUGGCUCUUGUCUAUGUUUCUUGGAACAGGACGUCACAGAGGGUGAGAAUCCCGUGCGAUGAGAUGUCUAAUCCUAUGUAAGGUGCUUUCGAAGAGUCGAGUUGUUUGGGAAUGCAGCUCUAAGUGGGUGGUAAAUUCCAUCUAAAGCUAAAUAUUGGCGAGAGACCGAUAGCGAACAAGUACAGUGAUGGAAAGAUGAAAAGAACUUUGAAAAGAGAGUGAAAAAGUACGUGAAAUUGUUGAAAGGGAAGGGUUUGAGAUCAGACUCGAUAUUUUGUGAGCCUUGCCUUCGUGGCGGGGUGACCCGCAGCUUAUCGGGCCAGCAUCGGUUUGGGCGGUAGGAUAAUGGCGUAGGAAUGUGACUUUGCUUCGGUGAAGUGUUAUAGCCUGCGUUGAUGCUGCCUGCCUAGACCGAGGACUGCGAUUUUAUCAAGGAUGAUGGCAUAAUGAUCCCAAACCGCCCGUCUUGAAACACGGACCAAGGAGUCUAACGUCUAUGCGAGUGUUUGGGUGUUAAACCCGUACGCGUAAUGAAAGUGAACGUAGGUGAGGGCUCUUUUGAGUGCAUCAUCGACCGAUCCUGAUGUCUUCGGAUGGAUUUGAGUAAGAGCAUAGCUGUUGGGACCCGAAAGAUGGUGAACUAUACCUGAAUAGGGUGAAGCCAGAGGAAACUCUGGUGGAGGCUCGUAGCGGUUCUGACGUG
This 719-nucleotide ribosomal RNA is filed under the name Meyerozyma guilliermondii. RNAcentral's name for it is "partial large subunit ribosomal RNA". It matches the Rfam family "Eukaryotic large subunit ribosomal RNA", at positions 151 to 893 of the family's 3401-position model. The record is from RNAcentral. Lineage: Eukaryota; Fungi; Ascomycota; Pichiomycetes; Serinales; Debaryomycetaceae.